RNAcentral lists this unclassified non-coding RNA (346 nucleotides) under soil metagenome. Its description in RNAcentral is "partial contains 5.8S ribosomal RNA, internal transcribed spacer 2, and large subunit ribosomal RNA". The stretch from base 1 to 120 matches the Rfam family "5.8S ribosomal RNA", at positions 35 to 154 of the family's 154-position model. The record is from RNAcentral.
GAUGAAGAACGUAGCGAAAUGCGAUACGUAAUGUGAAUUGCAGAAUUCAGUGAAUCAUCGAGUCUUUGAACGCACAUUGCGCCCCCUGGUAUUCCGGGGGGCAUGCCUGUCCGAGCGUCAUUGCUGCCCUCAAGCCCGGCUUGUGUGUUGGGUCUCGUCCCCCUGCCCGGGGGGACGGGCCCGAAAGGCAGCGGCGGCACCGCGUCCGGUCCUCGAGCGUAUGGGGCUUUGUCACCCGCUCUGUAGGCCCGGCCGGCGCUUGCCGAUCAACCAAAACUUUUUUCCAGGUUGACCUCGGAUCAGGUAGGGAUACCCGCUGAACUUAAGCAUAUCAAUAAGCGGAGGA